RNAcentral lists this transfer RNA (77 nucleotides) under Marmota monax (woodchuck). It matches the Rfam family "tRNA". Rfam says of the family: Transfer RNA (tRNA) molecules are approximately 80 nucleotides in length. Lineage: Eukaryota; Metazoa; Chordata; Mammalia; Rodentia; Sciuridae. The record is from Rfam by way of RNAcentral.
GGGUAUAGCUCAGUGAUAGAGCACUUGCCCAGCAUGCACCAUAUUUGAGGCCCUGGGUUUGAUCCCCAGUACCACCA